GAUGAACGCUGGCGGCGUGCUUAACACAUGCAAGUCGAACGGGAAUUACUUUAUUGAAACUUCGGUCGAUUUAAUUUAAUUCUAGUGGCGGACGGGUGAGUAACGCGUGGGUAACCUGCCUUAUACAGGGGGAUAACAGUCAGAAAUGGCUGCUAAUACCGCAUAAGCGCACAGAGCUGCAUGGCUCGGUGUGAAAAACUCCGGUGGUAUAAGAUGGACCCGCGUUGGAUUAGCUUGUUGGUGGGGUAACGGCCCACCAAGGCGACGAUCCAUAGCCGGCCUGAGAGGGUGAACGGCCACAUUGGGACUGAGACACGGCCCAGACUCCUACGGGAGGCAGCAGUGGGGAAUAUUGCACAAUGGGGGAAACCCUGAUGCAGCGACGCCGCGUGAAGGAAGAAGUAUCUCGGUAUGUAAACUUCUAUCAGCAGGGAAGAUAGUGACGGUACCUGACUAAGAAGCCCGGCUAACUACGUG
Molecule: ribosomal RNA, 477 nt
Filed under: uncultured bacterium
Lineage: Bacteria
Description: partial 16S ribosomal RNA
Rfam family: Bacterial small subunit ribosomal RNA
Source: RNAcentral